UACGGAAGGCAGCAGGUGGGGAAUAUUGCACAAUGGGCGAAAGCCUGAUGCAGCUAUGCCGCGUGUAUGAAGAAGGCCUUAGGGUUGUAAAGUACUUUCAUCGGGGAGGAAAAAACAAAACUAAUAAUUUUAUUUCUUGACGUUACCCGAAAAAGAAGCACCGGCUAACUCCGUGCCAGCAGCCGCGGUAAUACGGAGGGUGCUAGCGUUAAUCAGAAUUACUGGGCGUAAAGAGCACGUAGGUGGUUUUUUUAAGUCAGAUGUGAAAUCCCUGGGCUUAACCUAGGAACUGCAUUUUGAAACUGAAAUACUAGAGUAUCGUAGAGGGAGGUAGAAUUCUAGGUGUAGCGGUGAAAUGCGUAGAUAUCUGGAGGAAUACCUGUGGCGAAAGCGGCCUCCUAAACGAAUACUGACACUGAGGUGCGAAAGCGUGGGGAGCAAACAGGGAUUAGAUACC
Molecule: ribosomal RNA, 457 nt
Filed under: uncultured bacterium
Lineage: Bacteria
Description: bacterial SSU rRNA
Rfam family: Bacterial small subunit ribosomal RNA
Source: RNAcentral